AAACUGUAACAAGAAAGACGAUACAUUGAGAAAGUAAAUCAACUUAUUUUACUAAUUAUUACCACCAAAAAGACUACUACAAAGAACGUAAAGGAAAAGGUCUAAAAUUUCAACUUAUUUUACUAAUUAUUACCACCAGAAAGACUAGUACAAAGAGCAACAAAGAACGUAAAGGAAAAGGUCUAAAAUUUCAACAAAUAUGCCUUAAUAUUUGUAUAAUAAGUGCAUUGCCCACCAUCCAAGAUCUAUGCUAGUCAUGGUAUGUUCUUCAAUAGGCGGAACUAAAAGCUAUGUAUCGUAGAAAACAAAUUCAUUUUCUCUUGGCAUGAUCUCAUUUCAG
RNAcentral lists this long non-coding RNA (340 nucleotides) under Gossypium raimondii (Peruvian cotton). Its description in RNAcentral is "long non-coding RNA (GRAI_LNC006796)". Lineage: Eukaryota; Viridiplantae; Streptophyta; Magnoliopsida; Malvales; Malvaceae. The record is from RNAcentral.